This 427-nucleotide ribosomal RNA is filed under the name uncultured bacterium. RNAcentral describes it as "bacterial SSU rRNA". It matches the Rfam family "Bacterial small subunit ribosomal RNA", at positions 355 to 774 of the family's 1533-position model. The record is from RNAcentral.
UGGGGAAUUUUGGACAAUGGGCGAAUGCCUGAUCCAGCCAUGCCGCGUGCGGGAAGAAGGCCUUCGGGUUGUAAACCGCUUUUGACAGGGAAGAAACGAGUUUCUCUAAUACAGAGACUUAAUGACGGUACCUGAAGAAUAAGCACCGGCUAACUACGUGCCAGCAGCCGCGGUAAUACGUAGGGUGCAAGCGUUAAUCGGAAUUACUGGGCGUAAAGCGUGCGCAGGCGGUUAUGCAAGACAGAUGUGAAAUCCCCGGGCUCAACCUGGGACCUGCAUUUGUGACUGUAUAGCUAGAGUACGGUAGAGGGGGACGGAAUUCCGCGUGUAGCAGUGAAAUGCGUAGAUAUGCGGAGGAACACCGAUGGCGAAGGCAGCCUCCUGGGCCAGUACUGACGCUCAUGCACGAAAGCGUGGGGAGCAAACA